CCUACGGGAGGCAGCAGUAAGGAAUAUUGGUCAAUGGAGGCAACUCUGAACCAGCCAUGCCGCGUGCAGGAAGACAGCCCUCUGGGUCGUAAACUGCUUUUAUUCGGGAAUAAACCUUAUUACGUGUAAUAAGCUGAAUGUACCGAAGGAAUAAGGAUCGGCUAACUCCGUGCCAGCAGCCGCGGUAAUACGGAGGAUCCAAGCGUUAUCCGGAUUUAUUGGGUUUAAAGGGUGCGUAGGCGGCUUAUUAAGUCAGGGGUGAAAGACGGUGGCUCAACCAUCGCAGUGCCUUUGAUACUGAUGAGCUUGAAUGAACUAGAGGUAGGCGGAAUGUGACAAGUAGCGGUGAAAUGCAUAGAUAUGUCACAGAACACCGAUUGCGAAGGCAGCUUACUAUGGUUUUAUUGACGCUGAGGCACGAAAGCGUGGGGAUCAAACAGGAUUAGAUACCCUGGUAGUCCACGCCCUAAACGAUGAAUACUCGCUGUUAGCGAUAUACAGUUAGCGGCUAAGCGAAAGCGUUAAGUAUUCCACCUGGGGAGUACGCCGCAAGGUGAACUUAAAGAGUAGUCGCGNGNGAGAGCGACGACGACGACGAGGAGGAGGAGG
RNAcentral lists this ribosomal RNA (609 nucleotides) under uncultured bacterium. Its description in RNAcentral is "bacterial SSU rRNA". It matches the Rfam family "Bacterial small subunit ribosomal RNA", at positions 338 to 944 of the family's 1533-position model. The record is from RNAcentral.